Cicer arietinum (chickpea) is the source of this 344-nucleotide long non-coding RNA. RefSeq lists it as uncharacterized. The record is from RefSeq and is a predicted model, not a curated record. Lineage: Eukaryota; Viridiplantae; Streptophyta; Magnoliopsida; Fabales; Fabaceae.
UAGCUUCCAAUCUAAGCAGCAAACAUGAAGGUAAUGAGAAGAUACAUGCCUUUUCAAAUACCGAUGAAGACAGAGACGGUGGUUCGCGGUGGAAGUUGAAACAACGUUAAAACAGGAACAGAUGUACCCAUAAGCAUGGCUUGUGCAUCAAUGGCAGUCAUCAUCAACAUGGCAGAGUUUGGCAGUGAACAAAGUCAACAUAGCAAGGCUGGCUUGAUCUGAUUUAAAUUUUAUUGUAAUUUAUUUUUGCCUUUAUUUUAGUUUGUAAUUUGAUUUGGUUUUAAAACUCUAAUUAGAUUUGAAAUUGUAAAUUUAAUAUAUAAUGAAAUUAUUUAUUGUAAUUA